AGGCCUGGGCCUGUGCAAUGCU
This 22-nucleotide microRNA is filed under the name Patiria miniata (bat star). RNAcentral's name for it is "Pmi-Mir-92-o27_5p* (star (passenger))". Lineage: Eukaryota; Metazoa; Echinodermata; Asteroidea; Valvatida; Asterinidae. The record is from RNAcentral.